UACAGAGGUGGCAAGCGUUGUUCGGAAUUACUGGGCGUAAAGGGCGCGUAGGCGGCCAACUAAGUCCGACGUGAAAUCCCCAGGCUUAACCUGGGAACUGCGUCGGAUACUGGAUGGCUUGAAUUCGGGAGAGGGAUGCAGAAUUCCAGGUGUAGCGGUGAAAUGCGUAGAUAUCUGGAGGAAUACCGGUGGCGAAGGCGGCAUCCUGGACCGACAUUGACGCUGAUGAGCGAAAGCUAGGGGAGCAAACGGG
This 253-nucleotide ribosomal RNA is filed under the name uncultured bacterium. RNAcentral describes it as "partial 16S ribosomal RNA". It matches the Rfam family "Bacterial small subunit ribosomal RNA", at positions 524 to 776 of the family's 1533-position model. The record is from RNAcentral.